This 428-nucleotide ribosomal RNA is filed under the name Pseudomonas sp. R10.64. Its description in RNAcentral is "bacterial SSU rRNA". It matches the Rfam family "Bacterial small subunit ribosomal RNA", at positions 85 to 508 of the family's 1533-position model. Lineage: Bacteria; Pseudomonadati; Pseudomonadota; Gammaproteobacteria; Pseudomonadales; Pseudomonadaceae. The record is from RNAcentral.
CUGGUGGCGAGCGGCGGACGGGUGAGUAAUGCCUAGGAAUCUGCCUAGGUAGUGGGGGAUAACGCUCGGAAACGGACGCUAAUACCGCAUACGUCCUACGGGAGAAAGCAGGGGACCUUCGGGCCUUGCGCUAUCAGAUGAGCCUAGGUCGGAUUAGCUAGUUGGUGAGGUAAUGGCUCACCAAGGCGACGAUCCGUAACUGGUCUGAGAGGAUGAUCAGUCACACUGGAACUGAGACACGGUCCAGACUCCUACGGGAGGCAGCAGUGGGGAAUAUUGGACAAUGGGCGAAAGCCUGAUCCAGCCAUGCCGCGUGUGUGAAGAAGGUCUUCGGAUUGUAAAGCACUUUAAGUUGGGAGGAAGGGCAGUUACCUAAUACGUGAUUGUUUUGACGUUACCGACAGAAUAAGCACCGGCUAACUCUGUGC